RNAcentral lists this ribosomal RNA (1242 nucleotides) under metagenome. Its description in RNAcentral is "bacterial LSU rRNA". It matches the Rfam family "Bacterial large subunit ribosomal RNA", at positions 1564 to 2817 of the family's 2925-position model. The record is from RNAcentral.
UGAAUACGAGACGCUAAGGCGUCGAAGUAGUGUAUGUCAUACUUCCAAGAAAAGCUUGCACUGUCAUAGAUAAAAAACGCCUGUACCAUAACCGACACAGGUGGGUAGGUAGAGUAUACUAAGGGGCGCGAGAUAACUCUCUCUAAGGAACUCGGCAAAAUAACUCCGUAACUUCGGGAGAAGGAGUGCCUUAUUCGUAAGGUUGCAAUAACAAGAUCCAAGCAACUGUUUAUCAAAAACACAGGUCUCCGCUAAGUCGUAAGACGAUGUAUGUGGGCUGACGCCUGCCCAGUGCCAGAAGGUUAAAGAAGUUGGUUAGCAAUUGCGAAGCUGAUAACUGAAGCCCUGGUGAACGGCGGCCGUAACAAUAACGGUCCUAAGGUAGCGAAAUUCCUUGUCGGGUAAGUUCCGACCCGCACGAAGGCGUAAUGAUUUGGAUGCUGUCUCGGAGAGGGGCUCGGUGAAAUAGACUUGUCUGUGAAGAUGCGGACUACCUGCACCAGGACAGAAAGACCCUAUGAAGCUUUACUGUAACUUGAAAUUGAAAUUGGACUUUAUUCGCGCAGUAUAGGUGGGAGGCGUUGAUUAUAAUCUUGUGGGAUUAUUGGAGCCAUCAGUGAGAUACCACUCUUGUAAUGUUAGAUUUCUAACUUUGAAUCAUUAUCUGGUCAAAGAACAGUUUCAGGCGGGCAGUUUGACUGGGGCGGUCGCCUCCUAAACGGUAACGGAGGCGUACAAAGGUUUCCUCUGAACGGUUAGAAAUCGUAUCUAGAGUGUAAAGGCAUAAGGAAGCUUGACUGUGAGACCUACAAGUCGAGCAGGGACGAAAGUCGGUCUUAGUGAUCUGACGGUACUGAGUGGAAAGGCCGUCACUCAACGGAUAAAAGUUACUCUAGGAUAACAGGCUGAUCUCCCCCAAGAGUUCACAUCGACGGGGAGGUUUGGCACCUCGAUGUCGGCUCAUCGCAUCCUGGGGCGGUAGUACGUCCCAAGGGUUGGGCUGUUCGCCCAUGAAAGCGGUACGCGAGCUGGGUUCAGAACGUCGUGAGACAGUUCGGUCCACAUCCGGUGUAGGCGUUAGAAUAUUGAGAGGAGCCUUCUUUAGUACGAGAGGACCGAGAAGGACAUACCUCUGGUGUACCAGUUAUCGUGCCAACGGUAAACGCUGGGUAGCUAUGUAUGGAGUGGAUAACCGCUGAAAGCAUCUAAGUGGGAAGCCCACCUCAAGAUAAGUAUUCUCAU